UGUUCCACUGAUUUGCUGCUCUAGUCUUUUAGUGAUAUGAGCAGUUAUACACAUGGGAGAGAACAAUGUUAGGCUAUUGUGAACGGAAAUGGAGUAACCAUUUAAUCUCUUCUGUGAAGUCCAGAUAUUG
Ailuropoda melanoleuca (giant panda) is the source of this 130-nucleotide small nucleolar RNA. Ensembl annotates it as small nucleolar RNA SNORA20. The record is from Ensembl. Lineage: Eukaryota; Metazoa; Chordata; Mammalia; Carnivora; Ursidae.